GAUGGAGGCAGGGAGGCCCCCCUGUGCUUGAGGGUGGCCUCGCCAUCAAGGCUGGGGCCUCCGUGCCUCCUGCCUUGCUUGUCCCCCUCAGCCACAGCUUGGCCGCUUCUAGGAGAUGGUGCCGUCUCUCCCACCAGCAGGCUCUCCCCCGGGAGCCUGCUCAGACCUGCCUUCCUCACAAAGCUCGGUAGCAACUCCCUGGGGCAGAAAAUGUCUCUUCUGAAAGCAAGACAAGAGUUUAAUUAAGCCCUAAACGCACACAGUUGAGCCUGAAAUUAGGGUGGUGAUGGGAGGGGGAGAAGGCAAUCGAGGACGGUGGGUAGCGGGGUGGGCUUCAACGCACUUCUGGCCCAGCUGAGCCAAACAAGCCUACAAGCAAACAUUUACAGAGCCUGUGGGCGUGGCUACAAAGCCUCUCUGACCUGGAGAGGGGAGAAUGCCACGUUUCCUGUCCUGUUUGGGCUCUCCCCAGGUUGUUGCUCAGACAGUCAAACCACAGCCUCCUCCUCUACCUGGCAAUUAAUCCUGCUGUGCCCUGCAACCUGGGUUGGGUCUUACUCUGCCAGGGACUGAAGCAAGAAGAGACGGGCCGCCGGGCGUGUUAUCGCUUGUCUCUGGGGCAGAGAAGCGGUUGCAACAGAGCCCCUGCGUGCGUGUGGACGUGCCUGCGUGGAGCAGUGAGGGAACAGGCUGUCCUCGGGGGGCGCCCUGUCCCCCUUCCCUGUGUGUGUGGCAGGCAACCCAAGGGCAGACCCCACUUGAUGGACACAGAAGCUGCUCUCACAGAAGCCAACCCCCCACCCCCCUGGACAGGUCAUCUAAUCAGUUAGUGGAGAUGCUAACUUCUGUGUUGCUUUGGAAGAAGAACCGGUCUCUGUGAUGCCUGGGCAUCCUUUCAGCUUUCACAGUCUGUCAAGGUCAAACCAAAGAGUUGAGUUCAAGUUCCCAUCCCUAGAGUUGUUGACAGGCAUUUUGCUAGAGGUGACACACCAUCCAUUACAAGCUGAGAGUCAAGGAUCUGGAAAAUGAGAAGCCCCUCCCCUAAGCCACAGACAGCCUGGAUGAGCACACCAAGACAGAGGUUCAGUAUCUUGCCGAAAGUUGAGAGGAGAAGCUACGAAUAAGACCAGCUCUGGCUCCCAAUCCACCCCACAGCUUUUGAUGGUACUCAGUGGUACACCCUUGGACCCCGAUGGUGUGGGCAGUUCUCCCACAGGUCUGGCCCGAGUCUCUCCUACUCUCGUCUGAAUUGGAUCAGAUGGAAGGACCAUGUCAGUAGGUCGGUUCUGCUCCCAACCCAGCCUCAAGAGACAUCACCCAUCCCUUGGUACAGGUGGUAGCCUUCCAGUUACUGGGGUGGGGAUGUUUGCCUUCUGUUAAUGAAAAGAAAUAGAUGUGAUAAUAAAUAAAUGCCCAACCCAGUGCAGCAAUCGAUGUCCCUAACAAUGAGGCUCUGUGUUUGCUCUCAGCUGUGGGUUAUGUUCAUUGGCCACAGUCACUGCUCAGGAGCCCCUGGGCACAUCAUCCUGGGUGGGUCCACAGG
This is a long non-coding RNA of Bos taurus (domestic cattle), 1543 nucleotides long. The record is from Ensembl. NCBI's taxonomy places the organism in Eukaryota, Metazoa, Chordata, Mammalia, Artiodactyla, Bovidae.